RNAcentral lists this ribosomal RNA (379 nucleotides) under uncultured Lachnospiraceae bacterium. Its description in RNAcentral is "bacterial SSU rRNA". It matches the Rfam family "Bacterial small subunit ribosomal RNA", at positions 355 to 749 of the family's 1533-position model. Lineage: Bacteria; Bacillati; Bacillota; Clostridia; Lachnospirales; Lachnospiraceae. The record is from RNAcentral.
UGGGGAAUAUUGCGCAAUGGGGGAAACCCUGACGCAGCAACGCCGCGUGAUUGAAGAAGGUCUUCGGAUUGUAAAAAUCUUUUAUCAAGGACGAAGAAGUGACGGUACUUGAUGAAUAAGCUCCGGCUAACUACGUGCCAGCAGCCGCGGUAAUACGUAGGGAGCAAGCGUUAUCCGGAUUUACUGGGUGUAAAGGGAGCGCAGACGGCAUGGCAAGCCAGAUGUGAAAGGUGGGGGCUCAACCCCCAAGCUGCAUUUGGAACUGUCAAGCUAGAGUAUCGGAGAGGUAAGUGGAAUUCCUAGUGUAGCGGUGAAAUGCGUAGAUAUUAGGAGGAACACCAGUGGCGAAGGCGGCUUACUGGACGAUAACUGACGUUGA